This 1234-nucleotide ribosomal RNA is filed under the name metagenome. RNAcentral describes it as "bacterial LSU rRNA". It matches the Rfam family "Bacterial large subunit ribosomal RNA", at positions 1564 to 2808 of the family's 2925-position model. The record is from RNAcentral.
UGAAUACGAGAUGCUACGGCAUUGAAGCAGUCUAUGUCAGACUUCCAAGAAAAGCUCGCAAUGUCAGAAACAAGAAAUGCCUGUACCAUAACCGACACAGGUGGGUAGGUAGAGUAUACUAAGGGGCGCGAGAUAACUCUCUCUAAGGAACUCGGCAAAAUGACUCCGUAACUUCGGGAGAAGGAGUGCCUUAUUUUAUAAGGUUGCAAUAACAAGAUCCAAGCAACUGUUUACCAAAAACACAGGUCUCCGCUAAGUCGAAAGACGAUGUAUGGGGGCUGACGCCUGCCCAGUGCCAGAAGGUUAAAGAAGUUGGUUAGCCUAGCGAAGCUGAUGACUGAAGCCCUGGUGAACGGCGGCCGUAACUAUAACGGUCCUAAGGUAGCGAAAUUCCUUGUCGGGUAAGUUCCGACCCGCACGAAAGGCGUAAUGAUUUGGAUACUGUCUCGGAGAGGGGCUCGGUGAAAUAGACUUGUCUGUGAAGAUGCGGACUACCUGCACCUGGACAGAAAGACCCUAUGAAGCUUUACUGUAACUUGAGAUUGAAAUUGGACUUUAUUUGCGCAGCAUAGGUGGGAGACGUUGAAAAUAUUCUUGCGGGAAUGUUGGAGUCAUCAGUGAGAUACCACUCUUGUAAUGUUAGAUUUCUAACUUUGUAUCAUUAUCUGGUCAAAGGACAGUUUCAGGCGGGCAGUUUGACUGGGGCGGUCGCCUCCUAAACGGUAACGGAGGCGCACAAAGGUUUCCUCUGAACGUGUAGAAAUCGUAUCUAGAGUGUAAAGGCAUAAGGAAGCUUGACUGUGAGACCUACAAGUCGAGCAGGGACGAAAGUCGGUCUUAGUGAUCUGACGGUGCUGAGUGGAAAGGCCGUCACUCAACGGAUAAAGGUUACUCUAGGAUAACAGGCUGAUCUCCCCCAAGAGUUCACAUCGACGGGGAGGUUUGGCACCUCGAUGUCGGCUCAUCGCAUCCUGGGGCGGUAGUACGUCCCAAGGGUUGGGCUGUUCGCCCAUGAAAGCGGUACGCGAGCUGGGUUCAGAACGUCGUGAGACAGUUCGGUCCAUAUCCGGUGUAGGCGUUAGAAUAUUGAGAGGAGCCUUCUUUAGUACGAGAGGACCGAGAAGGACAUACCUCUGGUGUACCAGUUAUCGUGCCAACGGUAAACGCUGGGUAGCUAUGUAUGGAGUGGAUAACCGCUGAAAGCAUCUAAGUGGGAAGCCCACCUCAAGAUAAG